AGAAUUUGAUCUUGGUUCAGAUUGAAUGCUGACGGCGUGGAUGAGGCAUGCAAGUCGAACGGAUUUGAGUGCAAACUCAAGUCAGUGGCGGAAGGGUUAGUAAUGCACAGGUAACGUACCGUGACCCUGGGGAUAACAUUCAGAAAUGGAUGCUAAUACCGAAUGUCGUCAAUCUUCGGCAUCGUAGAUUGAUGAAAGCGGGGGAUUCCGAGAGGAACCUUGCGGGACAUGAGCGGCCUGUGUGGCAUCAGCUUGUUGGUAAGGUAAUGGCUUACCAAGGCUGAGACGCCUAGGCGGACUGGGAGGUCGAUCGCCAACACUGGGACUGAGAACUGCCCAGACUCCUACGGGAGGCUGCAGUCGAGAAUCUUUCGCAAUGGGCGCAAGCCUGACGAAGCGACGCCGUGUGUGUGAUGAAGGUUUUAGGAUCGUAAAGCACUUUCGCCUGUGAGCAAGAAUCGGCUUCUAAUAAAGGUUGAUUUUGAGAGUAGCAGGUAAAGAAGCGCCGGCCAACUACGUGCCAGCAGCUGCGGUAAUACGUAGGGCGCAAGCAUUAAUCGGAUUUAUUGGGUGUAAAGGGUGCGUAGGCGGUUGAGCAAGUUGGAUGUGAAAUUCCGGAGUUCAUCUUCGGACUGCAUACAAAACUGCUUGACUAGAGUGUAAGAGGGGAAAGCGGAAUUCCACAAGUAGCGGUGAAAUGCGUAGAUAUGUGGAGGAACACCGGUGGCGAAGGCGGCUUUCUGGAUUAUUACUGACGCUGAGGCACGAAAGCAUGGGGAGCAAACAGGAUUAGAUACCCUGGUAGUCCAUGCCGUAAACGAUGCACACUUGAUGUAGUCGGUCUCAACCCCGGCUGUGUCGUAGCUAACGCGAUAAGUGUGCCACCUGGGGAGUACGCUCGCAAGGGUGAAACUCAAAAGAAUUGACGGGGACCCGCACAAGCAGUGGAGCAUGUGGUUUAAUUCGAUGCAACGCGAAGAACCUUACCUGGGCUUGACAUGCAGAGGAUUGGGGCAGAAAUGCUCAGUUCCGAAAGGAUCUCUGCACAGGUGCUGCAUGGCUGUCGUCAGCUCGUGCCGUGAGGUGUUGGGUUAAGUCCCGCAACGAGCGCAACCCUUAUUUCUAAUUGCCAUCAGGUAAAGCUGGGCACUUUAGUGAGACUGCCUGAGUCGAUCAGGAGGAAGGUGAGGAUGACGUCAAGUCCGCAUGGCCCUUAUGUCCAGGGCUACACACGUGCUACAAUGGCCAGUACAGAAGGUUGCGAAGUCGCAAGGCGUAGCUAAUCCCCAAAACUGGUCUCAGUUCGGAUUGCAGUCUGCAACUCGACUGCAUGAAGUUGGAAUUGCUAGUAAUGGCGUGUCAGCAACAGCGCCGUGAAUACGUUCCCGGGUCUUGUACACACCGCCCGUCACACCACGGGAGUUGCUCUCGCCCGAAGUCGCUGACCUAACCCGCAAGGGAGGGAGGUGCCGAAAGUGAGGGUGAUGACUAGGGUGAAGUCGUAACAAGGUAAUCCUACUGGAAGGUGGGGUUGGAUCACCU
Molecule: ribosomal RNA, 1542 nt
Filed under: Candidatus Similichlamydia laticola
Lineage: Bacteria; Pseudomonadati; Chlamydiota; Chlamydiia; Parachlamydiales; Candidatus Parilichlamydiaceae
Description: bacterial SSU rRNA
Rfam family: Bacterial small subunit ribosomal RNA
Source: RNAcentral